This 237-nucleotide ribosomal RNA is filed under the name uncultured bacterium. RNAcentral's name for it is "partial 16S ribosomal RNA". It matches the Rfam family "Bacterial small subunit ribosomal RNA", at positions 100 to 334 of the family's 1533-position model. The record is from RNAcentral.
CCGGCACGGGUGAGUAACACGUAUCCAACCUGCCGUCUACUCUUGGACAGCCUUCUGAAAGGAAGAUUAAUACAAGAUGGCAUCAUGAGUCCGCAUGUUCACAUGAUUAAAGGUAUUCCGGUAGACGAUGGGGAUGCGUUCCAUUAGAUAGUAGGCGGGGUAACGGCCCACCUAGUCUUCGAUGGAUAGGGGUUCUGAGAAGAAGGUCCCCCACAUUGGAACUGAGACACGGUCCAA